Molecule: ribosomal RNA, 385 nt
Filed under: Eukaryota sp.
Lineage: Eukaryota
Description: partial small subunit ribosomal RNA
Rfam family: Eukaryotic small subunit ribosomal RNA
Source: RNAcentral
AUUCCAGCUCCAAGAGCGUAUAUUAAAGUUGCUGCGGUUAAAAAGCUCGUAGUUGGAUUUCAGUCUAGGAAGGUUAACUCGCCGAAAGGUUGUACGUUGAUUUUCCUCAGACUUCGUCAGAAGCUCGUGCUGCACUUAACUGUGUGGUACGAUGUUCUGACCUUUUACCUUGAGGAAAGUAGAGUGUUUCAGGCAGGCUACCCAGCUUGAAUACAUUAGCAUGGAAUAAUGAAAUGGAUCUCGGUUCGAUUUCGUUGGUUCUAGAGCUGAGGUGAUGAUCAAUAGGAACAGGCGAAGGUAUUCGUACUUGAGAGUGAGGAGUGAAAUCCGAUGAUCUCUUAAAGACGAUCCGAGGCGAAAGCAUUUGUCAAGGAUGUUUUCAUCA